RNAcentral lists this unclassified non-coding RNA (284 nucleotides) under Melanommataceae sp. RNAcentral's name for it is "partial contains 5.8S ribosomal RNA, internal transcribed spacer 2, and large subunit ribosomal RNA". The stretch from base 1 to 71 matches the Rfam family "5.8S ribosomal RNA", at positions 84 to 154 of the family's 154-position model. The record is from RNAcentral. Lineage: Eukaryota; Fungi; Ascomycota; Dothideomycetes; Pleosporales; Melanommataceae.
GUGAGUCAUCGAAUCUUUGAACGCACAUUGCGCCCUUCGGUAUUCCGUUGGGCAUGCCUGUUCGAGCGUCAUUUAAACCUUCAAGCUUUGCUUGGUGUUGGGCGGCUGUUCUGCCUGUGGGCACGAACUCGCCUCAAAUCUAUUGGCAGUUUGUGGGUUGGAUUCUGUGUGCAGCACAUUGCGCGACGACUCCGGCCUCCUUCCUCCCAUCAAGCCCUUCCAUUGUUUGACCUCGGAUCAGGUAGGGAUACCCGCUGAACUUAAGCAUAUCAAUAAGCGGAGGA